Molecule: ribosomal RNA, 759 nt
Filed under: uncultured Enterobacteriaceae bacterium
Lineage: Bacteria; Pseudomonadati; Pseudomonadota; Gammaproteobacteria; Enterobacterales; Enterobacteriaceae
Description: bacterial SSU rRNA
Rfam family: Bacterial small subunit ribosomal RNA
Source: RNAcentral
AUUGAACGCUGGCGGCAGGCUUAACACAUGCAAGUCGAGCGGCAGCGGAAAGUAGCUUGCUACUUUGCCGGCGAGCGGCGGACGGGUGAGUAAUGUCUGGGAAACUGCCUGAUGGAGGGGGAUAACUACUGGAAACGGUAGCUAAUACCGCAUGACCUCGAAAGAGCAAAGUGGGGGAUCUUCGGACCUCACGCCAUCGGAUGUGCCCAGAUGGGAUUAGCUAGUAGGUGAGGUAAUGGCUCACCUAGGCGACGAUCCCUAGCUGGUCUGAGAGGAUGACCAGCCACACUGGAACUGAGACACGGUCCAGACUCCUACGGGAGGCAGCAGUGGGGAAUAUUGCACAAUGGGCGCAAGCCUGAUGCAGCCAUGCCGCGUGUGUGAAGAAGGCCUUAGGGUUGUAAAGCACUUUCAGCGAGGAGGAAGGCACCAUACUUAAUACGUGUGGUGAUUGACGUUACUCGCAGAAGAAGCACCGGCUAACUCCGUGCCAGCAGCCGCGGUAAUACGGAGGGUGCAAGCGUUAAUCGGAAUUACUGGGCGUAAAGCGCACGCAGGCGGUUUGUUAAGUCAGAUGUGAAAUCCCCGCGCUUAACGUGGGAACUGCAUUUGAAACUGGCAAGCUAGAGUCUUGUAGAGGGGGGUAGAAUUCCAGGUGUAGCGGUGAAAUGCGUAGAGAUCUGGAGGAAUACCGGUGGCGAAGGCGGCCCCCUGGACAAAGACUGACGCUCAGGUGCGAAAGCGUGGGGAGCAAACAGG